Molecule: transfer RNA, 73 nt
Filed under: Ailuropoda melanoleuca (giant panda)
Lineage: Eukaryota; Metazoa; Chordata; Mammalia; Carnivora; Ursidae
Rfam family: tRNA
About the family: Transfer RNA (tRNA) molecules are approximately 80 nucleotides in length. Their secondary structure includes four short double-helical elements and three loops (D, anti-codon, and T loops).
Source: Rfam by way of RNAcentral
ACCUGGCUGGUUCAGUGGGUGGAGUACGCGACUCUUGAUCUUGGGGUUGUGGGUUCGAGCCCCACGUUGGGUG